AGCUCCAAUAGCGUAUAUUUAAGUUGCUGCAGUUAAAAAGCUCGUAGUUGGAUUUCGGGUGGGAAUGGCCGGUCCGCCGUUUCGGUGUGCACUUGCUACGCCCACCUUGCUGCCGGGGACGUGCUCUUGAGUUUGCGCUCGGGACACGGAGUCGGCGAGGUUACUUUGAGUAAAUUAGAGUGUUCAAAGCAGGCCUACGCUCUGAAUACAUUAGCAUGGAAUAACACGAUAGGACUCUGGCCUAUCUUGUUGGUCUGUAGGACCGGAGUAAUGAUUAAGAGGGACAGUCGGGGGCAUUCGUAUUUCAUUGUCAGAGGUGAAAUUCUUGGAUUUAUGAAAGACGAACUACUGCGAAAGCAUUUGCCAAGGAUGUUUUCAUUAAUCAAGAACGAAAGUAGAUCGGAAGAG
Molecule: ribosomal RNA, 408 nt
Filed under: Trebouxiophyceae sp. KAC119
Lineage: Eukaryota; Viridiplantae; Chlorophyta; Trebouxiophyceae
Description: SSU rRNA
Rfam family: Eukaryotic small subunit ribosomal RNA
Source: RNAcentral